AUUGAACGCUGGCGGCAUGCCUUACACAUGCAAGUCGAACGGUAACGGGCCUUCGGGUGCCGACGAGUGGCGAACGGGUGAGUAAUACAUCGGAACGUGCCCGAUCGUGGGGGAUAACGAGGCGAAAGCUUUGCUAAUACCGCAUACGAUCUACGGAUGAAAGCAGGGGACCGCAAGGCCUUGCGCGGACGGAGCGGCCGAUGGCAGAUUAGGUAGUUGGUGGGAUAAAAGCUUACCAAGCCGACGAUCUGUAGCUGGUCUGAGAGGAUGAUCAGCCACACUGGGAAUUGGGACCGGGCCAGGAUCCUUAGGGAAGGAGCAGUGGGGGAUUUUGGGAAAAGGGGGGAAGGCUUGUCCAGGCAUGGCGGGUGGAAGGUGGAGGCCUUUGGGUUGGUAACUUGUUUUGUACGGAACGAAAAGGCUUCUUUUAAAACCGGAGGGGCAUGACGGGAACGUAAAAAUAAGCAACGGCCAACUACGUG
Molecule: ribosomal RNA, 482 nt
Filed under: uncultured bacterium
Lineage: Bacteria
Description: partial 16S ribosomal RNA
Rfam family: Bacterial small subunit ribosomal RNA
Source: RNAcentral